UCCUACGGGAGGCAGCAGUGGGGAAUAUUGGACAAUGGGCGCAAGCCUGAUCCAGCCAUGCCGCGUGUGUGAAGAAGGCCUUAGGGUUGUAAAGCACUUUCAGUGGGGAAGAAGGCCUCUGGGUUAAUACCCUGGAGGAAGGACAUCACCACGAGG
This 156-nucleotide ribosomal RNA is filed under the name uncultured Halomonas sp. Its description in RNAcentral is "partial 16S ribosomal RNA". It matches the Rfam family "Bacterial small subunit ribosomal RNA", at positions 337 to 487 of the family's 1533-position model. The record is from RNAcentral. Lineage: Bacteria; Pseudomonadati; Pseudomonadota; Gammaproteobacteria; Oceanospirillales; Halomonadaceae.